GAAAAUACACAAAAAUCUGCCCAAUAAUAAUGUUAUUGAUAUUAAAGCGUUUUAUAUUAUUAAAAUGCAUAACAGAGAAUGACUGCAUAUGCAAGGAAGCAAUAACCCAACCUUGCCACACCUCCCACACAAGGGCGAACUGGCGAAACAGCAGGAAAAUUUGGAAUCAAAGAGGAAGUUGAAACCACAUGGAGAACAAGUUCCCACUGAAACACAGUUCUUUCUACACUCCCACAGACACAGGCUAAAAACAACAAUGUUUCAAAUUUUGAGUGGUUGGGAGCAUCAACUUGCUUAUGGUUUCCACAGGAUUGUGGUUUCUGCAAUCAUAGAAGUCACAACAUAUGGAUCCAUGUUUGAUGCAGGCCUCCUGUCCUCGAAAUAUCCCUUUCCUUGCUUCUCUGUGUCUCGGCCAACGCGAAUCGAUGCUCCACGGUUAGCAACGCCCUGCACAAAAAGGGGUAAAAUGUAAGCAAUCUCUUUUAAAAGUUUUUGUCCAAUAAGUAGAACGUGUGAUCCAGCAACAACAAAGACAAUGAAUUUUUUAUGUUCUAUACCCAUAAGAAAGUGUUGAUGUCAGCUGUUUCAUGUCGUCCAGUCAGUCUGCGUUCAUUGCCUUCACCAUAUGCAGCAAUGUGUUCUUUGUGCCUCAGCCCCAACUUCUCAAUUGCUUUCUUGAUGACCUCAUAGCCCCCAUCAUGCCUCAUUGACUUUGUACUAUAGUUUGUGUGAGCUCCAGCACCAUUCCAGUCACCCUGAAUUGGCUUGGGAUCAAAAGAAAGGACAACUCCAGCAAUCUCUGUAAUCCUCUCCAAAAUGUAGCGCGCAACCCAUAAUUCAUCUCCAGCAGAGAUUCCAACUGCAGGUCCCACUUGAAAUUCCCACUGGCCUGGCAUGACUUCUCCAUUAAUACCACUAAUGUUGAUGCCAGCAUAUAGACAGGACUUGUAGUGUGAAUCAACAACGUCUCGCCCAAAGGAUUUGUCAGCACCAAUACUACAGUAGUAUGGCCCCUGCGGACCAGGGUAACCACCAAGAGGCCACCCAAUAGGCCAUUUAACAUCUCUCUGCAGCAAGGUGUAUUCUUGCUCAAUGCCGUACCAGGGCUCUUCAGCAACAACAUCUGGAUGGCUGAAGAUCUUAGCAGCAGCGUGUCUCUUGUUUGUUGGAAUUGGCUCACCAGCAGGGGUGUAAGCAUCACACAUCACAAGUAUAUUGUUGCCCCUCCUAAAUGGAUCCUUGAAAAUAGCCUGGGGAUAUAGGAUGACUUCGCUGUCUUCUCCAGGAGCCUGUCCUGUGCUGGAACCAUCAUAGUUCCACUUGGGGAGCUUUGAAGGAUCACUAACAGGACCAGAAAGAGUCCUUGCUUUGCUCCUCAUGUCCAUGCCAGAUCCGCCGAUCCAUAUGUACUCGGCAAUGAUCUUGUCAGUGGUGUCUGAGAGGUUAAGGUUGAUGAGAUCUGAGAGAAGCGACAUGUCCACACAGUAAUAAUUGGCAACUCUUCUCUUCUUCUUCCUCUUCUUCCUGCCUCUGUAUGCAGAGGUGUCUAGCUGGGGGGAGGGCGUGAAAGCUUUUUGGAGUACCGAGUCUGUAUAAAGAGACGUGAGAAGAGGGGGGCUUGGCUAUGCUUUUAUAGUGGGGCUACAGUGUUUAAAAUGUAAAAUAACUCUAAAAUAUCAUAUUUUAAAAUUGCAUAAUAAUUUAUUAUUCUUAAAAAAAAUUGGUAAUUAGUAUUUUAUUUUCAGCGAAAGGGAUAAAUAAUUUAAGGGUAGCGGCAGUUUCAGCGAAGUUUCGGAUUAUUGAUAUGCUCGUAUAAAGGCAAAUGCAAUCU
This 1831-nucleotide unclassified non-coding RNA is filed under the name Hevea brasiliensis (rubber tree). Lineage: Eukaryota; Viridiplantae; Streptophyta; Magnoliopsida; Malpighiales; Euphorbiaceae. The record is from RNAcentral.